AGUGAACGCUGGCGGUAGGCCUAACACAUGCAAGUCGAACGGCAGCACAGUAAGAGCUUGCUCUUACGGGUGGCGAGUGGCGGACGGGUGAGGAAUACAUCGGAAUCUACUUUUUCGUGGGGGAUAACGUAGGGAAACUUACGCUAAUACCGCAUACGACCUACGGGUGAAAGCAGGGGAUCUUCGGACCUUGCGCGAUUGAAUGAGCCGAUGUCGGAUUAGCUAGUUGGCGGGGUAAAGGCCCACCAAGGCGACGAUCCGUAGCUGGUCUGAGAGGAUGAUCAGCCACACUGGAACUGAGACACGGUCCAGACUCCUACGGGAGGCAGCAGUGGGGAAUAUUGGACAAUGGGCGCAAGCCUGAUCCAGCCAGACUGCGUGGGUGAAGAAGGCCUUCGGGUUGUAAAGCCCUUUUGUUGGGAAAGAAAAGCAGCAGGUUAAUACCCCGCUGUUCUGACGGUACCCAAAGAAUAAGCACCGGCGAACUUCGU
This 491-nucleotide ribosomal RNA is filed under the name uncultured bacterium. RNAcentral describes it as "partial 16S ribosomal RNA". It matches the Rfam family "Bacterial small subunit ribosomal RNA", at positions 29 to 506 of the family's 1533-position model. The record is from RNAcentral.